Tachyglossus aculeatus (Australian echidna) is the source of this 286-nucleotide long non-coding RNA. RefSeq lists it as uncharacterized. The transcript has 3 exons. NCBI's taxonomy places the organism in Eukaryota, Metazoa, Chordata, Mammalia, Monotremata, Tachyglossidae. The record is from RefSeq and is a predicted model, not a curated record.
CUGGAAUUUGAACUCACAUUCUUCUGACUUCCAGGCCUUGGGCUCUACCAGCUAGGCCUUGCCGCUUCUCCUGUCAGUAAUUUCAGGGCCUUGGCUGCAUGAGGAGAAAAGACAGAAGUCCAGCUUAUUUCUGCCUCCCUGGAGAAGCUUUCCAGACCGGCCCGCUCAGAGAUGAGGUAACUGAGGCACAGAGAAGUUAAGUGACUUGCCCAAAGUCACACAGCUGACAAGUGGUGUAUCCUAAGACCAAGGAAGGAGCCUGAGCCCCCGAUGAGUCAUGGGAGAC